This 254-nucleotide ribosomal RNA is filed under the name uncultured bacterium. RNAcentral's name for it is "partial 16S ribosomal RNA". It matches the Rfam family "Bacterial small subunit ribosomal RNA", at positions 524 to 776 of the family's 1533-position model. The record is from RNAcentral.
UACGUAGGGUCCGAGCGUUAAUCGGAAUUACUGGGCGUAAAGCGUGCGCAGGCGGUUUUUGUAAGCCAGAUGUGAAAUCCCCGGGCUUAACUUGGGAACUGCAUUUGGGACUGCAAGGCUGGAGUACGGCAGAGGGAGGUGGAAUUCCACGUGUAGCAGUGAAAUGCGUAGAGAUGUGGAGGAACACCGAUGGCGAAGGCAGCCUCCUGGGCUAGUACUGACGCUCAUGCACGAAAGCGUGGGGAGCAAACAGG